This 446-nucleotide ribosomal RNA is filed under the name uncultured bacterium. RNAcentral's name for it is "bacterial SSU rRNA". It matches the Rfam family "Bacterial small subunit ribosomal RNA", at positions 28 to 457 of the family's 1533-position model. The record is from RNAcentral.
GAUGAACGCUGGCGGCGUGCUUAACACAUGCAAGUCGAACGGGAAACCUUUUAUUGAAGCUUCGGCAGAUUUAAUUUGUUUCUAGUGGCGGACGGGUGAGUAACGCGUGGGUAACCUGCCCUAUACAGGGGGAUAACAACCAGAAAUGGUUGCUAAUACCGCAUAAGCGCACAGGACCGCAUGGUCUGGUGUGGAAAACUCCGGUGGUAUAGGAUGGACCCGCGUUGGAUUAGCCAGUUGGCAGGGUAACGGCCUACCAAAGCGACGAUCCAUAGCCGGCCUGAGAGGGUGAACGGCCACAUUGGGACUGAGACACGGCCCAGACUCCUACGGGAGGCAGCAGUGGGGAAUAUUGCACAAUGGGGGAAACCCUGAUGCAGCGACGCCGCGUGAAGGAAGAAGUAUCUCGGUAUGUAAACUUCUAUCAGCAGGGAAGAUAGUGACGG